CCUACGGGAGGCAGCAGUGGGGAAUUUUGGACAAUGGGGGCAACCCUGAUCCAGCAAUGCCGCGUGCAGGAAGAAGGCCUUCGGGUUGUAAAUCUUGAGAACCGGGUACGCGGUACCUGAAGAAUAAGCACCGGCUAACUACGUGCCAGCAGCCGCGGUAAUACGUAGGGUGCGAGCGUUAAUCGGAAUUACUGGGCGUAAAGCGUGCGCAGGCGGCUUUGCAAGACAGAUGUGAAAUCCCCGGGCUUAACCUGGGAACUGCAUUUGUGACUGCAAGGCUAGAGUACGGUAGAGGGGGAUGGAAUUCCGCGUGUAGCAGUGAAAUGCGUAGAUAUGCGGAGGAACACCGAUGGCGAAGGCAAUCCCCUGGACUGACUGACGCUCAUGCACGAAAGCGUGGGGAGCAAACAGGAUUAGAUACCCUUGUAGUC
This 431-nucleotide ribosomal RNA is filed under the name uncultured bacterium. Its description in RNAcentral is "partial 16S ribosomal RNA". It matches the Rfam family "Bacterial small subunit ribosomal RNA", at positions 338 to 795 of the family's 1533-position model. The record is from RNAcentral.